RNAcentral lists this ribosomal RNA (402 nucleotides) under uncultured bacterium. RNAcentral's name for it is "bacterial SSU rRNA". It matches the Rfam family "Bacterial small subunit ribosomal RNA", at positions 28 to 424 of the family's 1533-position model. The record is from RNAcentral.
GACGAACGCUGGCGGCGUGCUUAACACAUGCAAGUGGAGCGACGAACCGGUCUUCGGACCGGGGCAGAGCCGCGAACGGGUGAGUAACACGUGGGUAACCCACCCCGAUGACCGGGACAACCCGAGGAAACUCGGGCUAAUACCGGAUGAGCUCUCAUCUUUUGAGAGAUGUGAGGAAAGAUAGCUUCGGCCUUCGCAUCGGGACGGGCCCGCGGCCCAUUAGCUUGUUGGUGGGGUAACGGCCUACCAAGGCGACGAUGGGUAGCUGGUCUGAGAGGACGAUCAGCCACACUGGGACUGAGACACGGCCCAGACUCCUACGGGAGGGCAGCAGUGGGGAAUCUUGCACAAUGCGCGAAAGCGUGAUGCAGCAACGCCGCGUGGGGGAAGAAGGCCUCGGUU